RNAcentral lists this ribosomal RNA (492 nucleotides) under uncultured bacterium. Its description in RNAcentral is "partial 16S ribosomal RNA". It matches the Rfam family "Bacterial small subunit ribosomal RNA", at positions 29 to 507 of the family's 1533-position model. The record is from RNAcentral.
AGUGAACGCUGGCGGUAGGCCCAACACAUGCAAGUCGAACGGCAGCACAGUAAGAGCUUGCUCUUACGGGUGGCGAGUGGCGGACGGGUGAGGAAUACAUCGGAAUCUACUUUUUCGUGGGGGAUAACGUAGGGAAACUUACGCUAAUACCGCAUACGACCUACGGGUGAAAGCAGGGGAUCUUCGGACCUUGCGCGAUUGAAUGAGCCGAUGUCGGAUUAGCUAGUUGGCGGGGUAAAGGCCCACCAAGGCGACGAUCCGUAGCUGGUCUGAGAGGAUGAUCAGCCACACUGGAACUGAGACACGGUCCAGACUCCUACGGGAGGCAGCAGUGGGGAAUAUUGGACAAUGGGCGCAAGCCUGAUCCAGCCAUACCGCGUGGGUGAAGAAGGCCUUCGGGUUGUAAAGCCCUUUUGUUGGGAAAGAAAAGCAGCAGGUUAAUACCCCGCUGUUCUGGCGGUACCCAAAGAAUAAGCACCGGCUAACUUCGUG